UGGGGAAUAUUGCACAAUGGAGGGAACUCUGAUGCAGCGACGCCGCGUGAACGAAGAAGGCUUUCGAGUCGUAAAGUUCUUUUAUAUGGGAAGAUAAUGACGGUACCAUAAGAAAAAGCCCCGGCUAACUACGUGCCAGCAGCCGCGGUAAUACGUAGGGGGCUAGCGUUGUCCGGAAUCACUGGGCGUGAAGGGUUCGCAGGCGGAAAUGCAAGUCAGGUGUAAAAGGCAGUAGCUUAACUACUGUAAGCAUUUGAAACUGCAUAUCUUGAGAAGAGUAGAGGUAAGUGGAAUUUUUAGUGUAGCGGUGAAAUGCGUAGAUAUUAAAAAGAAUACCGGUGGCGAAGGCGACUUACUGGGCUCAUUCUGACGCUGAGGAACGAAAGCGUGGGUAGCAAACAGG
RNAcentral lists this ribosomal RNA (403 nucleotides) under Fusobacteriota bacterium. RNAcentral describes it as "Fusobacteria bacterium partial 16S ribosomal RNA". It matches the Rfam family "Bacterial small subunit ribosomal RNA", at positions 355 to 776 of the family's 1533-position model. Lineage: Bacteria; Fusobacteriati; Fusobacteriota. The record is from RNAcentral.